RNAcentral lists this ribosomal RNA (481 nucleotides) under uncultured bacterium. Its description in RNAcentral is "bacterial SSU rRNA". It matches the Rfam family "Bacterial small subunit ribosomal RNA", at positions 30 to 511 of the family's 1533-position model. The record is from RNAcentral.
AUUGAACGCUGGCGGCAUGCCUUACACAUGCAAGUCGAACGGCAGCACGGGAGCAAUCCUGGUGGCGAGUGGCGAACGGGUGAGUAAUAUAUCGGAACGUGCCCGGUCGUGGGGGAUAACGUAGCGAAAGCUACGCUAAUACCGCAUACGAUCUACGGAUGAAAGCGGGGGAUCGCAAGACCUCGCGCGAUUGGAGCGGCCGAUAUCAGAUUAGGUAGUUGGUGAGGUAAAGGCUCACCAAGCCGACGAUCUGUAGCUGGUCUGAGAGGACGACCAGCCACACUGGGACUGAGACACGGCCCAGACUCCUACGGGAGGCAGCAGUGAGGAAUAUUGGUCAAUGGGCGCAAGCCUGAACCAGCCAUGCCGCGUGCAGGAAGACGGUCCUAUGGAUUGUAAACUGCUUUAUACAGGAAGAAACCCUCCCACGUGUGGAGCUUGACGGUACUGUAGGAAUAAGGAUCGGCUAACUCCGUGCCAG